Molecule: long non-coding RNA, 1159 nt
Filed under: Amphibalanus amphitrite
Lineage: Eukaryota; Metazoa; Arthropoda; Thecostraca; Balanomorpha; Balanidae
Description: uncharacterized LOC122375485, transcript variant X3
Source: RNAcentral
UGGGGAGUGGUGAAUGAGACAGAUUGAAGUGCAGCCAACACUGCAUGGUGCUUCUCGCAAGAGCUGACCCAUUGCUGUUUUUCAACUCUUCUGGAAAAGAUCCCGAAAGAAGAUAACUGCUUGUUUUCUUCACCGCCACCAGUCUACCUGCUCUCUGCACACUCGGCAGAGCGCGGCAGGGCACCCCACGGAGCUGCACUAGUCACAUCCGGGCCCCACGCCGGUCGACGGCCGAUGCGAUGGAGGCACUACUCCGAGCUGGACUGGUGGCCGGCUCGGAGCUGGUGGAUGUCGACCGCGGAGCGGCGAUCUACUCCUUCCACCGGGCCCGGCAGCAGGAGCUCCAGAUGUCCUUGUGCCACCCGUCCGGCCAGGCCUCCAUCCACCUUGUAGAGGCGGAGCGGGAGACGGUGAAGCUCACGGCUCCGUUGGAACAUGGCCGCUGGGAGGCCUGCGGCGCGGACGACGGAUGCGGCAGUUGGUCAAGACACGGCAGCCUACUCGAGGUGCUUCUCGCCUGGAGGACGCAGGCGAAUCGCGUUAUCCGAGCUGUGCCUCGUCAUGGUGCGAUGAGCCUUAAUAGACUAAUGCAUAUUCUUCCUUUGGUUGUAAUUCAUUUGCUGCUGCCCGCUGGGCUAAGGAGUAACUCUGGGCGCCUACUUUGGGCAGACGCUGGUCCAGUGCCGCCUUUCGUUUGCCGCACUUAUCUUUAUUUAUUCUUUGUUACAAUUCCGUCUUUGGUCAUUUUUUUUUUUACCAUGGGGGGCACUUGAAAGUUUUGUUUUUAAAUCUGUGGACAUUGAACCUGGAAUCGGUUUUUUGUCGGAUUUCGGUUUUGUUUUUGCACUGUGGAAAUAUCUCGUUCAAUAUUUUUUUUAAGAUAGGGCGUGCUAAAACUUUUAGUCUCAUUACUCCUCUGUGCAUCUAAAUUCUAAAGUAAUAUAAUGUGCAUCUCAAGUGUUUGGUGCUGUACUGUUAUUAUUUAUGGUUAAUCCAGUGCUGUACUGUUAUUAUUUAUGGUUAAUCCAGUGCUGAUUUAUGGUUAAUCCAGUUUUUAUUCGAUUGAAUCGUUGUGUGUAAUGUGCAUGACAUCCGCGUACCGCCUGUAGCAGUGUUAUAUAUUUUCAUUUAUGCUGGAAAAUAAUAACUUUCUUGUUCA